ACGGAGGGUGCAAGCGUUAAUCGGAAUUAAUGGGCGUAAAGCGCACGCAGGCGGUUUGUUAAGUCAGAUGUGAAAUCCCCGGGCUCAACCUGGGAACUGCAUCUGAUACUGGCAAGCUUGAGUCUCGUAGAGGGGGGUAGAAUUCCAGGUGUAGCGGUCAAAUGCGUAGAGAUCUGGAGGAAUACCGGUAGCGAAGGCGACCCCCUGGGCGAAGACUGACGCGCAGGUGCGAAGGCGUGGAGAACAAACAG
RNAcentral lists this ribosomal RNA (251 nucleotides) under uncultured prokaryote. RNAcentral's name for it is "partial 16S rRNA". It matches the Rfam family "Bacterial small subunit ribosomal RNA", at positions 525 to 775 of the family's 1533-position model. The record is from RNAcentral.